Molecule: long non-coding RNA, 1315 nt
Organism: Ipomoea triloba (trilobed morning glory)
Lineage: Eukaryota; Viridiplantae; Streptophyta; Magnoliopsida; Solanales; Convolvulaceae
Exons: 6
Source: RefSeq, a predicted model, not a curated record
ACGGAAUAUAGGAUAAUAGGAUCAUAUCGAUUUCCUUCCAACGCCCAAACACUAAACCUAAUCAAAAUUCCGCCGACGCGACUUCCUUCCAACGCCCAACCGCCCAACGACGACAGCACAGUCGACUGCCGCAUCGUCGACCGCCGUCUUCAUUCCAACUGCUCCGCCGUGCCUGUUCGCUGCUCGCAUCGACCAUUGUCUUCCUUCUCUGCUGCUCGCGCCCUCCGCUGCUCGCGUCGUCCGCUGCUCGCAUCGACCAUCGACCAUCGACCGUGCCUGUCCGCUGCUCGCGUCGUCUGCUGCGCUGCUCUGCCGUGCCGCCGAACGCCUGCCGCCACCGCCGCUGCCUGAUCAUGCACAUGGAAAGCAGGAUAGGCUGUCUGAAAGUGGUUGCUCUAUCAGUGGAACUAAUGAAGCCAGUGUAACCAACAUGAGAGUUGCAUAAAGCUCCUGUUCAAAUUCCAAAGAAGAAAGGUUGGAUGAUUCCCUACAAGAAUGUACCUCUACCUGCAACUUACAAUGUUAGUUAUGCAUAAACAGAAGGAAUAUUUUGGUAAAGUACAAAGGCCUUGCUCAUAUUCAUAACCACUGGAUUCCAGAGGCAGAGGUGACUCUAGAGGCUUCAACACUGCUUGCAAGAUUUAACAAACACAAUAAGGAUGUGAGUUGGAAAACAAAUUGGACUAUGCCUCAUCCUUUGCUUAGUGAAACAGAUUCUCUGGGGCAUAAUGAUAAUAGUUCUAAUUGCAUUAUGAGUGGCUUGUGAAAUGGACAGGCCUUGAUUAUGAUCAAGCUACUUGGGAAUUAGACACUGCUACAUGUUUAAAUUCCUCCAAGGAAUGAAAAAUGAUCAGUGACUAUGAAAGUCAUCAUAAAAAGGCAAACGCAGAGGUGCAUCCUUCCAAGAAUGAUAAGGAUAAGUGUCUUUCAAUUAAUGCCAUCAUAACUGUAUGCAUGAACUAAAAUUGGAAGAUGCAAUGAAGGAGAUUGGUGAAUCAACAGUUAAAGACCAUGCGAGCUAAGAUGGAGGCUAAACUACAAGUUGAAAGAAAUCAAUUGCGGGCUCAAAUGCCAAGCUCAGAUUACAAGUUUGAUGGAUGAGUUGCGUCGUAAUGGGAUGCUAUCCACUUCUAUGCCACGACCUCUAAAUAUUUAAGUUGAAGAUUUUGUUAAUUCAAAUGAUGAAAACUUAGAAGAGGAUUAGAUUAUGUUUAUUAAUAUACUUGGUAUUGUUUUUAACGAUAUAACUUUACUUUUGUUGGUAUGAAUGUUUUAAUAUAGUAUAUUUUAUAUAUAUUAUUGACCUAUUAUAUUA